GAUGAAGAACGUAGCGAAAUGCGAUAAGUAGUGUGAAUUGCAGAAUUCAGUGAAUCAUCGAAUCUUUGAACGCACAUUGCGCCCUUUGGUAUUCCUUAGGGCAUGCCUGUUCGAGCGUCAUUUAAACCUUCAAGCUAAGCUUGGUGUUGGGUGACUGUCCGCUUCACUGCGGACUCGCCUCAAAAUUAUUGGCGGCCGGUACAUUGGCUUCGAGCGCAGCAGAAACGCGAACUCGGGCCCGUCGUAUUGGCUCCCAGAUGCUAUCUUCACAAUUUUGACCUCGGAUCAGGUAGGGAUACCCGCUGAACUUAAGCAUAUCAAUAAGCGGAGGA
This 332-nucleotide unclassified non-coding RNA is filed under the name soil metagenome. RNAcentral describes it as "partial contains 5.8S ribosomal RNA, internal transcribed spacer 2, and large subunit ribosomal RNA". The stretch from base 1 to 120 matches the Rfam family "5.8S ribosomal RNA", at positions 35 to 154 of the family's 154-position model. The record is from RNAcentral.